RNAcentral lists this ribosomal RNA (251 nucleotides) under uncultured prokaryote. RNAcentral describes it as "partial 16S ribosomal RNA". It matches the Rfam family "Bacterial small subunit ribosomal RNA", at positions 525 to 775 of the family's 1533-position model. The record is from RNAcentral.
ACAGAGGCGGCAAGCGUUGUUCGGAAUUAUUGGGCGUAAAGAGCACGUAGGCGGCCUUGCAAGUCAGUUGUGAAAGCCUUCCGCUUAACGGAAGAACGGCAUCUGAUACUACAGGGCUUGAGUACGGGAGGGGAGAGUGGAACUUCUGGUGGAGCGGUGAAAUGCGUAGAUAUCAGAAGGAACAUCGGCGGCGAAAGCGACUCUCUGGCCCGUAACUGACGCUGAGGCUCGAAAGCGUGGGGAGCAAACGG